RNAcentral lists this long non-coding RNA (1292 nucleotides) under Mytilus galloprovincialis (Mediterranean mussel). Lineage: Eukaryota; Metazoa; Mollusca; Bivalvia; Mytilida; Mytilidae. The record is from RNAcentral.
GUUACAUAUUUGUUUUUCGUUCAUUUUUUUUUUAUAUAAUUAAGGCCGUUAGUUUUCUCGUUUGAAUUGUUUUACAUUGUCAUAUCGGGGACUUUUAUAGCUGACUAUGCGGUAUGGGCUUUGCUCAUUGUUGAAGGCCGUACGGUGAUCUAUAAAUGUUAAUUUCUGUGUCAUUUUGGUCUCUUGUGGACAGCUGUCUCAUUGGCAAUCAUACCACAUCUUCUUUUUUAUUAUAGAUCCAACGCUGCAAUUUUCACAAAACAUAUCAAAUUGCCACCUUGUCGCACAUACAUAUUGAUAAAAUCAUUACAGCUUAUUUCUUAUGCAUGUGGAGCAAAACUUUGGUUAGCUUGCUUACUUGUUUGUAUAUUGUACAAAAUAUAAAAUAUACAAGUUAAACUAUGCCUAUAUAUAUAUAUUGUUUAAAUAUGUCAAUCUUGUUUUCAAAGCUUGUAUAAACAACUAUACAAACAAAGCAAGCAAGCCAACCAAAGUUUUACUUUGCAGGUUUAAGAAAUCAGCUGUAAUGAUUUUAUUCAGUUUGGCAAAUGUCCGAGCCCGUUAAAAAACGAAUAAACUGAAACUACAGUUGCUGACUUCGCUGCCUUCAACAAAAAAGGGAACAGUUUGGAAGUCCCAUAUACUGAAAUGUGACCAACAAAAAUACUUAUAAAUUUUGUUAACACUGCCAUGUAUGUGAAUAUUUCUUCGCCUUUUUUACGAACACAAAAUUCAAGGAUCCCACAUUUGCCUUUAAUUAUCUAUACGAACAUUGCUGUACUCUUGAAUAUCAGCACCGGCUGUUAUCGACGGCUUACUUUACACCAGAAAGUUUGUCUCAUGGGUAAUUGUGUGUUUUCGCUGUUGUUUCGUUGCUUCUGGUGGAGAAAUACAUGAAAUCUCUGUGCCAUCAUCAAACAUGUUAUUGGCUAUAUAUCGGGUAAUUCAAACCCUUUUUUCUUCACAUAGAAACAACUUUUCGUUAAUCUGAGCAUGGAAGUAAUACUUUAUAUCACGAACUAUAAAUGAGGAUACACAAAAUGAAAAACUAAGCGAAAUUGUGAAUCCCGCAUUGCACGAAAAAAUGUGUUGUAUUUCAGUAAAUAACACGUGUUCUUGGUUGAUUGUAAACACGUAGUAGUCCAUCAUGCAUUGUGACUCAUUUAGUGGAUUGGUCAAAAACCUAGGUAAAAAUAAAUUGCGUCACAUGUAAAUAAACAAUUACAUGUGCGAGAACAUAAGUAUGCUAAUUUAUGCAUUUCCAUAUAAGGUAGUGGUCCCGACCUGUUAAA